This 839-nucleotide unclassified non-coding RNA is filed under the name Utricularia foveolata. RNAcentral's name for it is "partial contains tRNA-Leu (trnL) gene and trnL-trnF spacer region". The stretch from base 1 to 405 matches the Rfam family "Group I catalytic intron", at positions 27 to 253 of the family's 253-position model. The record is from RNAcentral. Lineage: Eukaryota; Viridiplantae; Streptophyta; Magnoliopsida; Lamiales; Lentibulariaceae.
GUAUGGAAACCUACUAAGUGAUAACUUUCAAAUUCAGGGAAACCCCGGAAUUCACAAAAAUGGGCAAUCCUGAGCCAAAUCCUGUUUUCUCAAAAGAAAGCGAAAAAAAAAAGGAUAGGUCCAGAGACUCAAUGGAAGCUGUUCUAAAAAAUGGGAGCACCGGUAGAGAAAUCUUUUCGCCAAAACGUCAGAAAGGAUCAAAACCUAUCUAUUGAAUACUAUAUUAAAUUAAUUAUAUAAAAAAAGCACAUAAUUAAUAAAGGCCCGAAUCCAUAGAUGUUUUUUUUCUAUGAAAAAAAGAAUUGGUUCAUCAAAUCAUUCACUCCAUAGUCCGAUAAACCUUUUAAAGAAUUGAUCAAUCGGACAAGAAUAAAGAUAGAGUCCCCUUCUACAUGUCAAUACCGGCAACAAUGAAAUUUAUAGUAAGAGGAAAAUCCGUUGACUUUUUAAAUCGUGAGGGUUCAAGUCCCUCUUCCCCAAACAGACCUAUUUUACUCCCAAAUCAUUAUCCUAGGCUCUCCCUUUCGGUUAAAAAUUGCUUUAUUUUUACCAUUCUUUGACAAACGUAGUUGGGCGUAAAUGACUUUAUCUUCUCCUAUGGGAUAUAGAAUACACACCCAAUUUGAGCAAGGAAUCCCGAUAAAAAUGAAUUUUAAAUCAAUAGCUUUACGAAUACUGAAACUCAUAAAGUGGUCUUUUUGAAAAUCAAAGAAAUUGAAGUACUUGGAGAAAAAUUCGUAAUCCCCCCUUUCCCUUUAAUUGACAUAUACCCCUUCAUCGACUAAAAUAAUAAAAUGCGUAUGGAUUACUAUGCUUGGAAUGGUCGGGAUAGCUCAGCU